This 125-nucleotide unclassified non-coding RNA is filed under the name plant metagenome. RNAcentral describes it as "partial contains 5.8S ribosomal RNA, internal transcribed spacer 2, and large subunit ribosomal RNA". The record is from RNAcentral.
CCUGAACCAUCCCCUGCCGCUCCUGGAGCUCGACGUGCUCCGCACCUUUGUUGCGAUUGCUGAAACCGGCAGCUUUACAGCGGCGUCAAACGCGGUUUUCCGUACGCCUUCGGCGGUGUCGAUGC